RNAcentral lists this ribosomal RNA (276 nucleotides) under uncultured prokaryote. Its description in RNAcentral is "partial 16S ribosomal RNA". It matches the Rfam family "Bacterial small subunit ribosomal RNA", at positions 355 to 622 of the family's 1533-position model. The record is from RNAcentral.
UGGGGAAUAUUGCGCAAUGGGGGAAACCCUGACGCAGCGACGCCGUGUGAGGGAAGAAGGCCUUCGGGUCGUAAACCUCUGUCAGAAGGGAAGAACCGCCUAGGGGCUAAUAUCCUCUGGGCCUGACGGUACCUUCAGAGGAAGCGCCGGCUAACUCCGUGCCAGCAGCCGCGGUAAUACGGAGGGCGCGAGCGUUAAUCGGAAUCACUGGGCGUAAAGCGCGCGUAGGCGGCCGAUCAAGUCAGAGGUGAAAGCCCUCGGCUCAACCGAGGAAUG